This 754-nucleotide ribosomal RNA is filed under the name Chryseobacterium sp. Its description in RNAcentral is "bacterial SSU rRNA". It matches the Rfam family "Bacterial small subunit ribosomal RNA", at positions 1 to 760 of the family's 1533-position model. Lineage: Bacteria; Pseudomonadati; Bacteroidota; Flavobacteriia; Flavobacteriales; Weeksellaceae. The record is from RNAcentral.
UAGAGUUUUGAUCAUGGCUCAGGAUGAACGCUAGCGGGAGGCCUAACACAUGCAAGCCGAGCGGUAGAGAUUCUUCGGAAUCUUGAGAGCGGCGUACGGGUGCGGAACACGUGUGCAACCUGCCUUUAUCAGGGGGAUAGCCUUUCGAAAGGAAGAUUAAUACCCCAUAAUAUAUUAACUGGCAUCAGUUGAUAUUGAAAGCUUCGGCGGAUAGAGAUGGGCACGCGCAAGAUUAGAUAGUUGGUGAGGUAACGGCUCACCAAGUCAGUGAUCUUUAGGGGGCCUGAGAGGGUGAUCCCCCACACUGGUACUGAGACACGGACCAGACUCCUACGGGAGGCAGCAGUGAGGAAUAUUGGACAAUGGGUGAAAGCCUGAUCCAGCCAUCCCGCGUGAAGGACGACGGCCCUAUGGGUUGUAAACUUCUUUUGUACAGGGAUAAACCUUUCCACGUGAGGGAAGCUGAAGGUACUAUACGAAUAAGCACCGGCUAACUCCGUGCCAGCAGCCGCGGUAAUACGGAGGGUGCAAGCGUUAUCCGGAUUUAUUGGGUUUAAAGGGUCCGUAGGCGGAUCUGUAAGUCAGUGGUGAAAUCUCACAGCUUAACUGUGAAACUGCCAUUGAUACUGCAGGUCUUGAGUGUUUUUGAAGUAGCUGGAAUAAGUAGUGUAGCGGUGAAAUGCAUAGAUAUUACUUAGAACACCAAUUGCGAAGGCAGGUUACUAAGCAACAACUGACGCUGAUGGACGAAAGC